GGGCCUUUAGCUCAGUUGGUUAGAGCGCACCCCUGAUAAGGGUGAGGUCGGUGGUUCGAGUCCACUAAGGCCCACCA
RNAcentral lists this transfer RNA (77 nucleotides) under Paenibacillus polymyxa. Its description in RNAcentral is "tRNA-Ile". It matches the Rfam family "tRNA". From Rfam's summary of the family: Transfer RNA (tRNA) molecules are approximately 80 nucleotides in length. Their secondary structure includes four short double-helical elements and three loops (D, anti-codon, and T loops). RNAcentral also lists the same sequence under 2 other names. Lineage: Bacteria; Bacillati; Bacillota; Bacilli; Caryophanales; Paenibacillaceae. The record is from RNAcentral.